Molecule: transfer RNA, 75 nt
Filed under: Synarthrophyton chejuense
Lineage: Eukaryota; Rhodophyta; Florideophyceae; Hapalidiales; Hapalidiaceae
Description: tRNA-Val
Rfam family: tRNA
About the family: Transfer RNA (tRNA) molecules are approximately 80 nucleotides in length. Their secondary structure includes four short double-helical elements and three loops (D, anti-codon, and T loops).
Source: RNAcentral
UGAGUGAUUAACUCAAUUGGUAGAGUGUUUUAUUUACAUUGAAAAGGUUAAAGGUUCAAAUCCUUUAUCACUCAU